Long non-coding RNA from Lycium barbarum (goji berry), 813 nucleotides. RefSeq lists it as uncharacterized. Lineage: Eukaryota; Viridiplantae; Streptophyta; Magnoliopsida; Solanales; Solanaceae. The transcript has 3 exons. The record is from RefSeq and is a predicted model, not a curated record.
CCCAAGGAGAGUUGACAAUAAUAUGUACUCAAUUAGAAAUAAAUGAAGUGGGCAAGCCACUUUUAUGAUAUUGCCAGGAAUAAAAGAGGAAUUAAGUGGAAGGUUUGUUUUUUAUUUACACGGAAAGAAGGCAAAAGAUAGAAAGAGAAGGAAACAGGCCAGAGAAAUUAUUUUGAUCAUUCAGAGGCUCUACGCAAAGGGAAGGCAUUAGUUUGAUUGUUCGUGGCACCUGCUCGGCAUUGAGAGUACGAUCCAGGUUCCAAUUCUACACCCCGUGGCUGAUAGGCGAGGGUGACAUCUUUCAGUCAUUUAGGGUGAGCUACUUGGUCAUCCGUGGCCCCUGAAGGACCUCCUCCCCUAUUUAUUUCUGUUUUUAUUUCGACAGACAAUAUGUAGCCUUCGGGUAUUUCAGACUUCUAUUCCGUAUUAUGUUAGUGCUCUUGUGCCCUCUGACUAGAUUUUGGGGUUGUCGUGACAUUUCUAGUUAUGAUAAGUAUUUAAGACUUGAUAACUUAUUCUUAUUUGAUUUACCACUUAUUUAACUUGUUAUUAGUAAUGUGGUUCGCCUACUCGGAGGGAUAGUGUAUGUGCCACCACGACUUGCGAAUUGGGUCGUAAGCAGAUGGAUUGAUAAAUACCCAUAUCACUACUUUUAUCCACCAAACAUAGCGUUCUAUUUUCUUUUACUUUUCAUUGCUUGAAUUUCCUGUAUUGUAACUUGGGAAUUCUGUAGUACAUGUAUAUGUAGUUCCUUGAUUAUACAUUAUUUUGCAUCUUGCAUAAUUAUGAUAUAAAGGUGAUUGACUUUAUUGA